GCAUAUAUGGCUGAGAGGUCGAAAGCACAGGACUCAUAAUCCUUUUUUGAAUAAAAAACAAACAUCAAUGGUUCAAAUCCAUUUAAAUGCA
RNAcentral lists this transfer RNA (91 nucleotides) under Nephromyces sp. ex Molgula occidentalis. RNAcentral describes it as "tRNA-Met". It matches the Rfam family "tRNA". From Rfam's summary of the family: Transfer RNA (tRNA) molecules are approximately 80 nucleotides in length. Their secondary structure includes four short double-helical elements and three loops (D, anti-codon, and T loops). Further hydrogen bonds mediate the characteristic L-shaped molecular structure. tRNAs have two regions of fundamental functional importance: the anti-codon, which is responsible for specific mRNA codon recognition, and the 3' end, to which the tRNAs corresponding amino acid is attached (by aminoacyl-tRNA synthetases). tRNAs cope with the degeneracy of the genetic code in two manners: having more than one tRNA (with a specific anti-codon) for a particular amino acid; and 'wobble' base-pairing, i.e. permitting non-standard base-pairing at the 3rd anti-codon position. The record is from RNAcentral. Lineage: Eukaryota; Apicomplexa; Aconoidasida; Nephromycida.